GCGUGCGGGAAGAAGGCCUUCGGGUUGUAAACCGCUUUUAGUCGGGAAGAAAAGGCGGGGGCUAAUACCCUCUGUUUUUGACGGUACCGGCGGAAUAAGCACCGGCUAACUACGUGCCAGCAGCCGCGGUAAUACGUAGGGUGCGAGCGUUAAUCGGAAUUACUGGGCGUAAAGCGUGCGCAGGCGGUUCGUCAAGUCUGAUGUGAAAGCCCCGGGCUCAACCUGGGAAUGGCAUGGGAAACUGACGGGCUGGAGUAUGGCAGAGGGGGGUGGAAUUCCGCGUGUAGCAGUGAAAUGCGU
RNAcentral lists this ribosomal RNA (300 nucleotides) under uncultured bacterium. RNAcentral's name for it is "bacterial SSU rRNA". It matches the Rfam family "Bacterial small subunit ribosomal RNA", at positions 399 to 691 of the family's 1533-position model. The record is from RNAcentral.